ACCUGGUGAUGUGGGAAUUUAUGAAGCAGGUCCCUAAAGAACUCCCAAGUGUCGAAAAAGAGUUCACCAUCCAUCUGUGAGAAACUUGUGAUGGCUCUCCGAAGUU
Small nucleolar RNA from Malania oleifera, 106 nucleotides. The record is from RefSeq and is a predicted model, not a curated record. NCBI's taxonomy places the organism in Eukaryota, Viridiplantae, Streptophyta, Magnoliopsida, Santalales, Ximeniaceae.